Molecule: long non-coding RNA, 327 nt
Organism: Sitophilus oryzae (rice weevil)
Lineage: Eukaryota; Metazoa; Arthropoda; Insecta; Coleoptera; Curculionidae
Exons: 3
Source: RefSeq, a predicted model, not a curated record
GUUGAAGUACCGCAUGGAAAAUUAGUAAACACUUUACUGAAAAGUAAAAACGUGUACAUUUUGGAUUGCUACCUGGACGUUUUUGUGUGGAUUGGUAAAAAGAGUACUAGAUUAGUGAAUGCUGCCGCUGUAAAACUGUCUGAAGAAUUAUUCAACAUGAUUGAUAGGCCUGAUUAUGCAUUGGUUACCAGGGUUAGGGAAGGUACAGAACCACAGGUAUUCAAAUGCAAAUUUGUGGGUUGGGAUGAAGUAAUAGCCGUAGAUUUUACACGAACAGCCGAAUCGGUGCAAAAAACAGGGGCGGACUUAACUAAAUGGGCCAGGCAA